Molecule: non-coding RNA, 28 nt
Filed under: Mus musculus (house mouse)
Lineage: Eukaryota; Metazoa; Chordata; Mammalia; Rodentia; Muridae
Source: RNAcentral
UCUCAACAUUCAGGUGGUUUACACGGGU